RNAcentral lists this transfer RNA (133 nucleotides) under Halomonas sp. I1. RNAcentral's name for it is "tRNA-OTHER". Lineage: Bacteria; Pseudomonadati; Pseudomonadota; Gammaproteobacteria; Oceanospirillales; Halomonadaceae. The record is from RNAcentral.
GCCAGUGUGAUGCUGUAAGGCGUUGAUAUAUCGGACGAUAGCGGUAGCAAGCGCGGCCCGUGAUUGCCUUGAAACGGAUUCAAAAUCCGCCGCUGUAACAGGCGUGUCGGUUCGAGUCCGACCACCGGCACCA